Non-coding RNA from Cinara cedri, 212 nucleotides. NCBI's taxonomy places the organism in Eukaryota, Metazoa, Arthropoda, Insecta, Hemiptera, Aphididae. The record is from the annotation of a GenBank genome assembly.
CGUGUAAGUCGGAUUUAUCGUGUAAUAAUUAUAAUGCGUUCAGUAAAGGUACUUUUUUGUUUUUUUUUUUCUUUUCAAGAAUCAACCGAAAUCCGAGACGUGGAUAGAUAUUUAUACGGGUUGAAAACCCGUAGAUGUUAAGGUCCAUACAUGCACAGAUCCAACAGUCAAUACAGAAAUAACACGAAUGCAUAAUAUUAGUUAUAAUUUCC